UACGGGGGGUGCAAGCGUUAAUCGGAGUUAUUGGGCGUAAAGGGUGCGUAGGUGGUUUAUUAAGUUAUCUGGAAAUUCCUGGGCUCAACCUAGGAAUGUCGGGUGAUACUGGUAAACUUGAGUAUAGUAGAGGGUAGUGGAAUUUCCGGUGUAGCGGUGAAAUGCGUAGAGAUCGGAAGGAACACCAGUGGCGAAGGCGGCUACCUGGACUAAUACUGACACUGAGGCACGAAAGCGUGGGGAGCAAACA
Molecule: ribosomal RNA, 250 nt
Filed under: uncultured bacterium
Lineage: Bacteria
Description: partial 16S ribosomal RNA
Rfam family: Bacterial small subunit ribosomal RNA
Source: RNAcentral